This 338-nucleotide long non-coding RNA is filed under the name Vigna radiata. Its description in RNAcentral is "long non-coding RNA (VRAD_LNC011700)". Lineage: Eukaryota; Viridiplantae; Streptophyta; Magnoliopsida; Fabales; Fabaceae. The record is from RNAcentral.
UCAAGACGAUAAAAAUAAUAUUUUGGGAUUUUUAUAAAGUGCAGAAAAAUAAACAUGAAUGCAAUUUGACCAAUUGAGGUUAAACACAAAAGUGAAUGAAUGAAUGGAGUUGUUGGGGGUUUACAAUUUCAUCUAAUCCGCUCUCUCUUAAUACUACCCUUGAAUAUUAGUUUGAUUAAUUGUUAUGCGACUUUCUUAGCCUCCCCUUAACCCGAUCCCUCGGCGAAAAGGGCCUAACAUUAACUACUGGCUUGCUAUCCCUAGCCUCCCCUAGUAAUUAAUACCGCAUUAUAAACAGAAGUUAGCGCAAUUGAUCGUCCUACCGCUAUCCCUAGGUG